This 1154-nucleotide ribosomal RNA is filed under the name Polaribacter sp. PG-19. Its description in RNAcentral is "bacterial SSU rRNA". It matches the Rfam family "Bacterial small subunit ribosomal RNA", at positions 114 to 1274 of the family's 1533-position model. Lineage: Bacteria; Pseudomonadati; Bacteroidota; Flavobacteriia; Flavobacteriales; Flavobacteriaceae. The record is from RNAcentral.
CGCGUAUAGAACUUACCUUUUACAGGGGGAUAGCCUUUAGAAAUGAAGAUUAAUAUCCCAUAGUAUUGAGAACUGGCAUCGGUUUUUAAUUAAAGAUUUAUCGGUUAAAGAUGGCUAUGCGUCCUAUUAGCUAGAUGGUAAGGUAAUGGCUUACCAUGGCAACGAUAGGUAGGGGCCCUGAGAGGGGGAUCCCCCACACUGGUACUGAGACACGGACCAGACUCCUACGGGAGGCAGCAGUGAGGAAUAUUGGGCAAUGGAGGCAACUCUGACCCAGCCAUGCCGCGUGCAGGAAGACUGCCCUAUGGGUUGUAAACUGCUUUUAUACAGGAAGAAACACUCGUACGUGUACGAGCUUGACGGUACUGUAAGAAUAAGGACCGGCUAACUCCGUGCCAGCAGCCGCGGUAAUACGGAGGGUCCGAGCGUUAUCCGGAAUCAUUGGGUUUAAAGGGUCCGCAGGCGGUCAAUUAAGUCAGAGGUGAAAUCCCAUAGCUUAACUAUGGAACUGCCUUUGAUACUGGUUGACUUGAGUUAUAUGGAAGUAGAUAGAAUGUGUAGUGUAGCGGUGAAAUGCAUAGAUAUUACACAGAAUACCGAUUGCGAAGGCAGUCUACUACGUAUAUACUGACGCUCAUGGACGAAAGCGUGGGGAGCGAACAGGAUUAGAUACCCUGGUAGUCCACGCCGUAAACGAUGGACACUAGUUGUUGGGAUUUAUCUCAGUGACUAAGCGAAAGUGAUAAGUGUCCCACCUGGGGAGUACGAUCGCAAGAUUGAAACUCAAAGGAAUUGACGGGGGCCCGCACAAGCGGUGGAGCAUGUGGUUUAAUUCGAUGAUACGCGAGGAACCUUACCAGGGCUUAAAUGUAGUCUGACAGCUUUAGAGAUAGAGUUUUCUUCGGACAGAUUACAAGGUGCUGCAUGGUUGUCGUCAGCUCGUGCCGUGAGGUGUCAGGUUAAGUCCUAUAACGAGCGCAACCCUUGUCGUUAGUUGCCAGCAUGUAAAGAUGGGGACUCUAACGAGACUGCCGGUGCAAACCGAGAGGAAGGUGGGGAUGACGUCAAAUCAUCACGGCCCUUACGUCCUGGGCCACACACGUGCUACAAUGGUAUGGACAAUGAGCAGCCAUCUGGCAACAGAGAGCAAAUCU